RNAcentral lists this ribosomal RNA (790 nucleotides) under uncultured bacterium. RNAcentral describes it as "bacterial SSU rRNA". It matches the Rfam family "Bacterial small subunit ribosomal RNA", at positions 8 to 796 of the family's 1533-position model. The record is from RNAcentral.
AGAGUUUGAUCAUGGCUCAGGAUGAACGCUAGCGGCAGUAAUACAUGCAAGUCGUGGGGCANNNNNNGUAGCAAUACCUGGCGGCGACCGGCAAACGGGUGCGGAACACGUACGCAACCUUCCUUUAAGCGGGGAAUAGCCCAGGGAAACUUGGAUUAAUACCCCAUAAGAUUAUGGUGUGGCAUCACACAGUAAUUAAAGCUCCGGCACUUAAAGAUGGGCGUGCGGCUGAUUAGGUAGUUGGCGGGGUAACGGCCCACCAAGCCUACGAUCAGUAACUGGUGUGAGAGCACGACCAGUCACACGGGCACUGAGACACGGGCCCGACUCCUACGGGAGGCAGCAGUAAGGAAUAUUGGUCAAUGGACGCAAGUCUGAACCAGCCAUGCCGCGUGGAGGAUGAAGGCCCUCUGGGUUGUAAACUUCUUUUAUCUGGGAAGAAACCCAUCUUUUCUAAGGUGGUUGACGGUACCAGUUGAAUAAGCACCGGCUAACUCCGUGCCAGCAGCCGCGGUAAUACGGAGGGUGCAAGCGUUAUCCGGAUUCACUGGGUUUAAAGGGUGCGUAGGUGGGCAGGUAAGUCAGUGGUGAAAUCUCCGGGCUUAACCCGGAAACUGCCGUUGAUACUAUCUGUCUUGAAUAUAGUGGAGGUGAGCGGAAUAUGUCAUGUAGCGGUGAAAUGCUUAGAUAUGACAUAGAACACCCAUUGCGAAGGCAGCUCGCUACACUAUCAUUGACACUGAGGCACGAAAGCGUGGGGAUCAAACAGGAUUAGAUACCCUAGUAGUCC